Long non-coding RNA from Amphimedon queenslandica, 121 nucleotides. RefSeq lists it as uncharacterized. The record is from RefSeq and is a predicted model, not a curated record. NCBI's taxonomy places the organism in Eukaryota, Metazoa, Porifera, Demospongiae, Haplosclerida, Niphatidae. The transcript is spliced from 2 exons.
AUAUUUAGUUUGCUGAUUCUAGAAAGGAUGUAUUGAAAAAGAUAUCAAUUAAAGUCCAAACUUAUCGUGAUGAGCUAGUGGCUAAGAUAAGGACUCGGUUUAGUCUAAUGGAAUCUAAAAA